GGCAGGAGGAUCCAGGGGGCAGCAGCUGCACUUCCCUGAAGGGUCUCUCCCUGGGUGGCGGGUUCUAGAGCUCAGGCUCACCCUAGAUCCACUGCCCACCAAAGCCACCAGGAGGAGUCCGGAGGGCAGCCGGUGCUGGGGGCACGACAACCUGGACGUGUUCCUACAAGCACAGGGCACGCCUGGCCUGCCCUCUCCAGGAGAGCCGAAGAACCGCCUGCCUGCCUGAAGCUUCUCUACAGCCUGAAGGGAACAGGUGUCUGCUUCCUGAAGGAACAGGAGGGCUCUCCUCCACAGGACAAAGCCCUCCCCUGGCCCUGGAGGAAAGGUCCUGCAGAGGCUGGUUCUGCGCGACACUGCCCAAGGCAAAGGAGCAACCGCGGACCAAACAAUCAUCUGGAGAUGACUGCACAAGUCCUGUCUGUACAUGUGGAGCGAGAAUGAGAAAGCAAAUGUGGGGAAAUGUUAACUGGUGCACCUGGGUGAGGGAUAUAGGAUGUGACCAUUCUGGCAACUGUUUGGGUAUGUUUCAAAGUUUGUUUGUUUGUUUGUUUGUUUGUUUGUUUGUUUGAAAGGCGGGACAAAGUCAAGUCCCAGGUUCUCUUUAGAGGAAAACGCUUGAAGUGAGACCUUGGGUUUCUGAGGUGAAUGGAAGGGAGCCGCUGGCCUGGCUUCUCAUCCCAGCUCUCCUCACCCAGCCUGGCCAUUACAAGGACCCGGACUCCUGACCUCCCGUAUUUUAGGGGCUCAGUGCACAGCCACUUCUGCAAGCGUCCCUGGGUGCACACCAGACUUCGGGGGAUGAAAAGGCAAAUCCUAAGUAUGGAGACAGCGCCACAAAGUCUCCUGGAUUGGAAUCGAACCUGAGCAGUAGCGGUGAAAAAUCCAAAUCCCAUCCCACCGAUCCGAUCCCGGGGAAUCCACCCACACAGGAUCCCUGCUUUGGCCCCUGCAGAUGAAAACCCUGAAAGUCAAGGUGACAUUUCCCAGGCGGACAGAGCACAAGCGGAGGCGAUUCCCAGCGGCGCGGGGCUGAAUGCAGCCGCACAAGGCUCCCAGCCCUUGCCCUGCUGCUCACCACCUCUUCCAGCCUCAGCGACCCCUUGGGCCUUGACCACAAGGUGACUGGCCUGUGCCACACUCUAGUCCAGCUGGAGCCGUGUGUGUUGCAGAGCCAAGGCCGUGCUCUCUUUCUGAGCCUCGUUUGCUGAUGGGCAAAUAAAUACACCUGUUGCGCAAGUGUGCCGCCCAGGGAA
Long non-coding RNA from Felis catus (domestic cat), 1256 nucleotides. RefSeq lists it as uncharacterized. The record is from RefSeq and is a predicted model, not a curated record. NCBI's taxonomy places the organism in Eukaryota, Metazoa, Chordata, Mammalia, Carnivora, Felidae. The transcript has 2 exons.